GGAGGGACCAUAGGCGUGGUGCAGCAGCAGCAGCAGCAGGGGAGCACAAGUAGAGCUUCUAUUGCAGGAAUGGACUGAUGAAGCUAUCAUUUGGAAACAUGACAUUGAAGAUGAAUGUUUUUAACAUUUGCAAGCAACCUGGAGAUAAUAAUGAUUUACAGGAAGUGGAGUUUAUUGAAAAAUUAGUUCAUGAUCAAUUUGAAACUAUUUCCAGUAAAAUUGAGUUUAAUGAA
This is a long non-coding RNA of Populus nigra (black poplar), 233 nucleotides long. RefSeq lists it as uncharacterized. The transcript is spliced from 2 exons. Lineage: Eukaryota; Viridiplantae; Streptophyta; Magnoliopsida; Malpighiales; Salicaceae. The record is from RefSeq and is a predicted model, not a curated record.